UAGUAGCUUGGUGGGCGCCGAGAUACCCGCACGUAUUCGUAUAUUCUCUUGACAGUCCCUCUAAUACAAGAAUUGUUAAAUUUAUCACCUCCUUUCUUGACUUAGACGUGAACAUAGAGAAGGAAAAAUCAAAUCGGUGGACCAUGAAUAAUGAAACCGACAUAGAUGGAAAAGUCAAAGUGGCUAGGUUGGCACACUAAGAUGUCCGAAAAGUAGCCAAGGUGUGUGUGAAAUUACAACCUGUUUAAUACUUGAUUAGUACUACUACUAACUUUCCAGGAAUGGAAUAACUUAAAUCUUUUUGAAGCAAGCAAGGGAUAUUGGGGUCUGGUCAAUCAGAUCAUCAUUUGAUUUCAAUUGUAGGCCAAGAAAUGACGAAGAGCAGAGAGCUGUGUUACUAUGAUGGUCAAGGACAAAAUACUAGUACUAGUUUAGGGAAUGAGAUUGUAGAAAUAGAAGAACAUGGGAGUAAUGGUGGUUAUGUUCCGGCAAGUGAGUUGUUGGAGAUCAAUAGAGGACUAGCUAGCAUAAAAGAAGUUGAAGUUGAAGGUAGUUUAUAUUCCUUUGAUUUCCACAACAACAGGGAUCAUGCUGUUGUCUAUGUUGCUGUUGGACAUAGCAGUGGUAAUAGUAAUAAGAUUAGCAAGGACUCAAGCAUGGAUGCUCUUCUUUGGACUCUCAAUCAUGCUGUCCCGGAUUACUCUUCGACCAUUCUUUUCCUCAUUCAUAUCUAUCCAGAGACCAAGUACAUCCCUACUCCUUUGGGAUUGAUUCCAAUAGGUCAAGUGAGUGCAGAGCAAAAGGAGAACCACAUGGCUCAAGAAAGAGGCAAGAGGCGCCAGUUCCUUCAAAAGUUUUUUGAUGCAUGCGCUGCUACAAAGGUUAAAGUUGACACCAUACUUAUAGAGAGCGACAUGGAAGCGAAAGCCAUACUGGACCUUAUUCCAAUCUGCAACAUAACAAGGCUCAUCUUGGGCACCUCUAAAGCCAACCUCAAGAAACUAAAGUCGAGAAAAGGUUGCGGAACAGCAGAUCAGAUAUUACUAAAUGCACCUGAAUUCUGUGAGGUUAAGAUAAUAUGUGAAGGCAAGGAAAUGGUUGAGCUGCAGAUGUUUGAAUCUCCUUCUCCCAAAGCCAAUACUGCUGACAGUCCAAAGCCAAUUCAGAGUCAUACCCACGAUCAAAACCAAGCGCAGAAUGAAUCGUUUGUAUGUGGAUGCUUUAAAGCCAGAGUCAUGCCUUAAAUCUUCAACAAUCUGCAUUAGCUUAUAUCAAUCCCAAAAUUCAAGGCGGGAUGUCAAUUUCAAGCAUUAACCCCAAACCUGCCCCAGGGUUUAUCAUCUCAUACAAAAUUCAUGAAUAUUGGCAACUAUUGUACAUCGAGAAACAAUGAAUAUACACACCAUUGUUGACAUGUUCAAAAAGAUGAAGACGAACGGAUCAGGACAAACCGGCUUGCACUGCUGAAGAAAAUAGCAGACUUGCCAAGGGGAAUAGUAGAUCUCUCAGUGUUACCCGGAUUUUGAAGUAUGUACGUACUACUAGAAAUAGAGGUUUUUCCCAUCGACAUUCAGUAUGAUUGUCCCACCUCAUUCCCACCGAACCAGCUCACUCGGAAAAUAUGGUGGGAAAUAGGUUCCCAUUGAAAUGCUAAGAAACUCCCUGAUUUUCGGUGUGACAACACUACUAUUUAGGUUUUUCCCUGUGUGAAAUGGCCAAUGAACAUUUUUCAGUAGGAAAUUUAGUGGGAAAAUAAUGAUUUUUUAGUGGUGACAGUGUCCGCUUAGGUUGUGUCAUACUAUCAUGAGCUGAGGCAACCAAGAAGAACAGCUAUGGCUUAUUAGUUAAUAGUGAACGGAGUCAUUUUUUUUCGCGGAGGCAGCUAGGGAAAGGGAUACGACCACUACAGAGCGAACUAGAGGAGAAACUAUUACACAAAUCUCGUUACAAUUUCACAUUUUUUUACUGUUGUACAAUGUAAUAAGUGAAUUAAUAAAAUGCAUCAUUGCUUGUA
This is an RNA transcript of Lycium barbarum (goji berry), 2014 nucleotides long. RefSeq lists it as uncharacterized. The record is from RefSeq and is a predicted model, not a curated record. NCBI's taxonomy places the organism in Eukaryota, Viridiplantae, Streptophyta, Magnoliopsida, Solanales, Solanaceae. The transcript is spliced from 5 exons.